AUACUGUACAUGGCAAUUAGAAG
This 23-nucleotide non-coding RNA is filed under the name Cricetulus griseus (Chinese hamster). Lineage: Eukaryota; Metazoa; Chordata; Mammalia; Rodentia; Cricetidae. The record is from RNAcentral.